AUUGAACGCUGGCGGCAGGCCUAACACAUGCAAGUCGAGCGAGCGGCGGACGGGUGAGUAAUGUAUGGGGACUGCCCGAUAGAGGGGGAUAACUACUGGAAACGGUGGCUAAUACCGCAUCCUGUCUGCUAACCCCUAUGGGAUUAGCUAGUAGGUAAGGUAAUGGCUGACCUAGGCGACGAUCCCUAGCUGGUCGGAGAGGAUGAUCAGCCACACUGGGACUGAGACACGGCCCAGACUCCUACGGAGGAAGCAGUGGGGAAUAUUGCACAAUGGGCGCAAGCCUGAGGCAGCCAUGCCGCGUGUAUGAAGAAGGCCCUAGGGUGGUAAAGUACUUUCAGUCGGGAGGCGUUACCGACAGAAGAAGCACCGGCUAACUCCGUGCCAGCAGCCGCGGUAAUAC
Molecule: ribosomal RNA, 403 nt
Filed under: uncultured bacterium
Lineage: Bacteria
Description: partial 16S ribosomal RNA
Rfam family: Bacterial small subunit ribosomal RNA
Source: RNAcentral